GCUUGUCUCAAAGAUUAAGCCAUGCAUGUCUAAGUGUAAAUACGUCUACACUGUGAAACUGCGAAUGGCUCAUUAAAUCAGUUAUCGUUUAUUUGAUGAUCUCUUGUUACAUGGAUAACCGUAGUAAUUCUAGAGCUAAUACAUGCGUCAAGCCCCGACUUCGGAAGGGGUGUAUUUAUUAGAUUCAAAACCAACCGUGUAAAAAGCGUACCUUGGUGAUUCAUAAUAAUUAAGCGGAUCGCAUGGCCUUGUGCUAGCGACAGUCCACUCGAUUUUCUGCCCUAUCAUGGUUGAGAUUGUAAGAUAGAGGCUUACAAUGCCUACAACGGGUAACGGGGAAUUAGGGUUCGAUUCCGGAGAGGGAGCCUGAGAAACGGCUACCACAUCCAAGGAAGGCAGCAGG
RNAcentral lists this ribosomal RNA (403 nucleotides) under uncultured Cryptophyta. RNAcentral's name for it is "partial small subunit ribosomal RNA". It matches the Rfam family "Eukaryotic small subunit ribosomal RNA", at positions 30 to 432 of the family's 1831-position model. The record is from RNAcentral. Lineage: Eukaryota; Cryptophyceae.